Molecule: ribosomal RNA, 423 nt
Filed under: uncultured bacterium
Lineage: Bacteria
Description: bacterial SSU rRNA
Rfam family: Bacterial small subunit ribosomal RNA
Source: RNAcentral
CGCAAGCCUGAUGCAGCCAUGCCGCGUGUAUGAAGAAGGCCUCGGGUUGUAAAGUACUUUCAGCAGUGAGGAAGGUGGAUAUGUUAAUAGCAUACUCAUUUGACGUUAGCUGCAGAAGAAGCACCGGCUAACUCCGUGCCAGCAGCCGCGGUAAUACGGAGGGUGCGAGCGUUAAUCGGAAUUACUGGGCGUAAAGCGCAUGCAGGUGGUUUGUUAAGUCAGAUGUGAAAGCCCGGGGCUCAACCUCGGAAUUGCAUUUGAAACUGGCAAACUAGAGUACUGUAGAGGGGGUAGAAUUUCAGGUGUAGCGGUGAAAUGCGUAGAGAUCUGAAGGAAUACCGGUGGCGAAGGCGGCCCCCUGGACAGAUACUGACACUCAGAUGCGAAAGCGUGGGGAGCAAACAGGAUUAGAUACCCUGGUAG